UCCCUGGUGGCUGAGAUGGUAAAGUGUCUGCCUACAAUGUGGGAGACCUGGGUUUGAUUCCUGGUUUGGGAA
Molecule: transfer RNA, 72 nt
Filed under: Ovis aries (sheep)
Lineage: Eukaryota; Metazoa; Chordata; Mammalia; Artiodactyla; Bovidae
Rfam family: tRNA
About the family: Transfer RNA (tRNA) molecules are approximately 80 nucleotides in length. Their secondary structure includes four short double-helical elements and three loops (D, anti-codon, and T loops).
Source: Rfam by way of RNAcentral